Gasterosteus aculeatus aculeatus (three-spined stickleback) is the source of this 3613-nucleotide long non-coding RNA. The record is from Ensembl. Lineage: Eukaryota; Metazoa; Chordata; Actinopteri; Perciformes; Gasterosteidae.
CGCAUUUUGUGUAUUGCCAUUGUGUUAUUACCCCACCGAACGCGUACCUCUUGAGAAACAGCUGCUGGAUGGCAACACUACAUGAGGCGGCGUUUCUAUCAUUAUCAUGUGCGAAAGGCCGAUGGCUCUGCAUGACAUUUGGACCCCAGGAGAAAAAACCAAGACAGCCUGACAGGAGCAACACUAUUUUCAUAUUGUACCACAUCACAUAAAGUCAAGCUGUGCAACUCAAUGGUGGGUGCUGUGCUCUAUUCGGGGAGCUCCGGGGGAGGAAGACCUUGGAAUGAGCCCAUUUGUGGCCGAGGGAAAGUCACAAGGAUGGCGGAAAUUCAUGUCUGACGUCCUCAUCACAGUAACUCCAUUGUCGGCCGGGGACUUGAUUGGACCGGUUGACUCUGCCUCUAUCCGGGUUGCUGCUUAUGUUGGUGCAGAAGACGCAGCGGCUCAAACCAGCUGUGUUUUGGUGAACACACUCAGAGGGACCAAGAUGACGUGAAGUACAGCUCCCUCAGAUGUGUCACUUCCUUUGGUUUGGAAAGGUCACACGUCUCCGCACAGAUGUCACCAUUGGUUUCCCUGCGUGUCGCUUCGGUUCAGCAACCUUUUCCCUGCUUACUUGCUCUUUUGCGUUGUUGUUGUUGUUGUUGUCCAAUUCCAGCGGCCCGCUAGCUGUUAGGCCAAACGCCUUGAUGCAAUUAAAAGUGCUAUAGUUAUAUUGGCAAACAAGAUAUUCCAGGUAUUGUGCUUAGAUUGUUGUAUUUAUCCACAAGACUGAGGUCAGAAAGUGCUUUUUCUCUGCAGGCUAACAACAUUGGAUCAUUUUAGUGGCAAAGCGAGUCAUCACUGUGACUACAGGGGCCGGUAACAAUGUGCUAAAUUAAAAGAACGGCUUUACGUUCACUUGUAUAAAUUUACUACGAUCAUUAGAACAGGGCUGAUCACGUUGAUUAUUUUGAGGAUGAUACUGACGAUGAUGUUGCCACUCGUGGCAGUGACUUGGUGGCCACACUAAUUAGCCGUGAGAGUGGGACAGAAGGGUAUCUUGUCCCUCACAAUGUAUUGGGUUGUCACAGCGGUCCGCCCGGUAGGUGAUAAGCAAAAACUGGUCUCUGCCUGCUCGACUGAGAGAGAUAGAGAGAGAGAGAGAGAGAGAGAGAGAGAGAGAGGGUGGGAUCAGCUAGAGUGACUUCGCAACCGAUGUUACUCCUCGCCUCAGAUAGCUGGCAACUCUGAAAUACUUUAUCAAGGCUCAGCUCGUAAUCUGCAUCAAUGCAUACGCACGGUAGUGUGCAGCAGUGAGUGGCUGACGAGCAAACAAAACCCAGUGGCAGAACACAACGCAGCUUUUUACAUGCAGACAGGACGAAAAGGUUGCUAUCGAUAGGUUUCAAAUCUGACUCCGAUGGUUAGUGGUUUUAACUGAGGUCUGUGCUUCCAGCAAAAUAACUUAUCUGUCGAAAUGUGAAGGCUAUUUCAAGCUGCCGGGUUAUAAUACAUGUGGCAGCCGGCAGGCUUCAGCUCCAGUGUCAACAUUCAGGCACACAAAAGCAUUUGUGGCGUACCAACACUCACGCACAGGCAUCCACUGAAAGGGACAGAGCGUCACAAGUUGUUACUUACAUAUUGACGUGCAUUAAUGCGUCCCUGCGCUCAGACAAUUAUUGGUUCUCACACACGCAUAAAAAAAAACACAAAUAGACAGACACCAAAGCAGAUCAGAUAAGCACAAGCAAGCCCGUACCACAGAGGGGGCGGCCGAGUUUUACUGCCAACCAAACAACAUAGUGAGAACAAGACAGCGCGUCAUUUGCAGACAUGAUAUAUCUCCACUCGCCUUGGGUACACUCAGCCCGGCAUUCGUGACCCUCGGCCAGCCAUGCUGGCAAGGCCGCAGCGGACGGCGUUGCCUUUCACUCUGCAGAAUCACAUUUCGCAGGGUGGCUACAGUUUGCAGUCACAACAAAGUGUCUUCUGUAAUGUGGCAGAAAAACGAUGAAAAGGCUUCAGGCUAGGAGUCUGUCUUAGUGGGUUUUCCUUUCCCUUUUAUCCAUUCCAAUUGAAUUUGCCAUCCAAGACUGCGGCGCUUCACCCUGCUGUCAACUUGAAUCAAAACACCUGCACAUUUUGCGUGAAUAUGCUUCGCUGCUCUGUUAGAGCUGGUCCUCCUGGCUGGGCCUCCUCCAGCUCUCUUAUAACGUGCCUGACCUUUAGAGUGAGUGGACGGAAAGAGUCCAAAGGUCACGCUAUCUGGCCUGCAUGUCAUCAGUUUCAAAUAAGAAACGGAGAAGACUCCCCGAAAACAUGGGCAAUAUAACGGGAGUACAUGUCUGAGAUAGAUCCCAUAUGCUUAGGAUCAAUGUAAAUUAUUGGUACUUGAUCCAUCGCAUGAUGGUUUGCAGUUACAGCAUCCUCUCAUAGUAUGUACUGUUACACAAGGUCCAGUCAGGCCUGUUAUGCAUGCAUACCUCACUUUAGUUAGGCAUUCAGUAAAGUGUGUUAUGUACCAUACAUCUGCCUCCAUCUAAAGCAGUGCUACCUCUCAAUUACCCAGGACCUGACAGUCAACUUUGGAAACUCCGUGCUAACGCCCACUUUGACCGCUAGGAACCUCGGCGUCACACUCGACAGCCAACUCUCCCUGACUCCCAACAUCACUGCGACAACGCAGGUACUGAUUCAGGCUCUUGUCAUCUCCCGCCUGGACUACUGCAACUCCCUCCUGGCAGGUCUCCCCGCCACCGCCAUUCGACCUCUGCAGCUCAUCCAGAAUGCAGCAGCUCGACUGGUCUUCAACCUUCCGAAAUUCUCCCACACUACUCCACUCCUCAGCUCUCUUCACUGGCUACCGGUGGCCGCCCGCAUUUAGUUCAAAACAUUGGUGCUCACGUACCAUGCUGUGAAUGGAUCGGGUCCAGCUUACAUCCAGGACAUGGUCAAACCCUACAUCCCAACCCGCACUCUCCGCUCUGCAUCUGCAAAACUACUCGUCUCUCCCUCACUGAGAGCAAAACACUCGACCAGAUCACGACUCUUUGCUGUCCUUGCUCCGAAAUGGUGGAACGAGCUCUCUGAAGACAUCAGGACCGCAGAGAGCCUUCACAUCUUCCGCCGCAAACUAAAGACACACCUCUUCAGACUCUACAUCGACUAAAAGACUAACAAAUUGUAGCACUUAAAUUGUACUUGUAACGUCACUCAUCUAUAGCAAAUUGUAAAUUGGCUUAUUUGAGGAAAUUGCACUUUCUUGUUUCUUGUUCUCCUGAGUUUGUACCCUAUGGUUGAAUGCACUUAUUGUACGUCGCUUUGGAUAAAAGCGUCCGCUAAAUGACAUGUAAUGUAAUUAGAUCUUUCUUGAAUUUCUAUAGUGAGCAAAACCUCAAAAUCCGCCUCAAUACCCUUCAAAUGACCUGUAAACAAGUAAAAGAUUAUCCAACAGACGUACGGUUAUUGGUUGAUCAAAUUGAGCCGGCUGUGAAAAUAUACUUCUAUUGUAUUAAAGGAUUAAAAACAAUCAGUAACACUUUAAGAGUAUGAACUGUAUGCAACAACAGAAUUCUAUGUGGUAGAGUAUUUAAAGAAUGUUAAAACAGAAAUAAAAGAACGUUAAAGCCAA